GACGAACGCUGGCGGCGUGCUUAACACAUGCAAGUCGAGCGGGGCGGAGGCAAGAGGUAACUUGAGCUUUCGUUCAGCGGCGGACGGGUGAGUAACGCGUGGGCAACCUGCCUCAAGGUUUGGGAUAACAGCUCGAAAGGGCUGCUAAUACCGGAUAUGCUUAUGGCCUCGCAUGGGGCUAUGAGCAAAGGGGAAACCCGCCUUGAGAUGGGCCCGCGUCCCAUCAGCUAGUUGGUGAGGUGAAGGCUCACCAAGGCGACGACGGGUAGCCGGCCUGAGAGGGUGACCGGCCACACUGGGACUGAGACACGGCCCAGACUCCUACGGGGGGCAGCAGUGGGGAAUCUUGCACAAUGGGCGAAAGCCUGAUGCAGCGACGCCGCGUGAGCGAAGAAGGCCUUCGGGUUGUAAGACUCUGUCUGGAGGGACGAACAAGAUGACGGUACCUCCGGAGGAAGCCACGGCUAACUACGUGCCAGCAGCCGCGGUAAUCU
This 494-nucleotide ribosomal RNA is filed under the name uncultured bacterium. RNAcentral describes it as "bacterial SSU rRNA". It matches the Rfam family "Bacterial small subunit ribosomal RNA", at positions 28 to 526 of the family's 1533-position model. The record is from RNAcentral.